Molecule: long non-coding RNA, 543 nt
Organism: Rhineura floridana
Lineage: Eukaryota; Metazoa; Chordata; Lepidosauria; Squamata; Rhineuridae
Exons: 2
Source: RefSeq, a predicted model, not a curated record
UCCUCCUCCUCUGCCCUCCCACCCCGCCUGGCAGAGGCGAAGCGGAGCGACGCCCACCGGGCCCCUGCAAGGGGGAGGGGGCCGCUGGAAGACAGGCGCGGGGGGGGCAGCCCACCAUCCCGUUUCUAAGAGCGGGCGACCCCCCCCCCAAAAAAACACUAGUAAGCCGACAGGGCGGGCAGGCAGGCGACAGGCCUUCUUCCCCGUUGCGUCUCUCUAGCCGCUGGCAUUCAAAGGUACACUGCUCCUGACCAUGGGGGCUCUGCUGUUAGCUUUUUCCCAGCUGCCCAACAACAUCCAGAAGGCCACAAGCUCCUCAGCCCUGCUUUAAGUUCUUUGGAUAAGGGCCUGCUCAGUCUCCCUGCCACCUAAAGAGAAGCAGAUGGUUACUAGGAAGGAAAUCUGUCAGGAGGGGGCAGCCACUGAGAAGGCCCUGCACCAAAAGCAACUUGCUGUCAGCUUGCAAGAAGCUAAUGAAAUGCUGUUUUUAUUUUGGGUGUUCCCAUCUUCCAUGGCAUGUUUUAAAAUUAUUUAUACAGAGAA